Long non-coding RNA from Manis javanica (Malayan pangolin), 829 nucleotides. RefSeq lists it as uncharacterized. The record is from RefSeq and is a predicted model, not a curated record. NCBI's taxonomy places the organism in Eukaryota, Metazoa, Chordata, Mammalia, Pholidota, Manidae.
UAAGCCAGCAGCAGUCCCCUCCAUGGGGCACAUAUGCCGUUGGAACCAACCAGAAGCCUGGGAGCAAGCUCCAGGGAGAGGCGUCCAGUGACGCCGUGGCCUGUUCUGUUUGCAGCCUGGUGCCUCUGUGAGGAGAGCGUCCCAGGCAGAUCGGGGACCAGGAGAGAUUCCAGGGUCCUGUGCAGACCCUGACCAUGGAGAAGAAGGAGCGCCUCUAGGGGGCUUGGCGGAGUCAGCAGCCCAGGCCCGCUGUAGCAGGCUGCACUGCAGGGCCUCCCAGACAGCCAGGUCCUGAACCCAGAGCCAGUAGGUGUUUCCUUACAUGGCACAUGUGAUUAAGGUCCUGUGCACCGUGGGCGCUUCCUCAAGUCUGCUUUCCCCGGACGCAGCUCAAGGGCCCACUCAAGAGGCACCGCAAAGAGGGGACACCUACCCCCCACAUUGCUAAUGGAGGGCCAGUGUGAAAGCUAAGGGGAGUCCUGCGCAGGGGAAGACUUGGCAGAGGAGGCCUUAGGAUGCCCAAUUUCCAAGGCCGCCCAUGGGGGAGGAGCAGGUGUCCGGGCAGGUGUCCGGGCAGGGGGGAGGCCUGCUGAGCCAGCUGGGGAAUGGGAAGUCACCUGGCUCUCCGACCUUGCUUGGGCGGGUGGGCGGGGACCCUGGGAGGCUCCUGGAGUGGCAGCGUGGGGUCGUCUGGAAGAAGUGCUGGGUGGGGCAUGUGGGGACAGGCAAGGCUCCCUCUGAGCCAGUGUGGCUCAGCCAAGCGUGUGCUUCAGACCCCAAACCCACCACCCAAGCCCUUUUAAGAAUAAAAACAAAUAUUUGGGUUGCA